This 447-nucleotide long non-coding RNA is filed under the name Salmo salar (Atlantic salmon). Its description in RNAcentral is "lncRNA (ENSSSAG00000087122.1)". Lineage: Eukaryota; Metazoa; Chordata; Actinopteri; Salmoniformes; Salmonidae. The record is from RNAcentral.
AAACUGAAUUGAAAGGGAGAGUGAAAGUCUCAGGCAGCGCCAGCAGUUCAUCAUGUAUCCUUCACAGAGACGUUUUCUUUUACACUUUAAAUGAUGAUACUCAUCAAUCAGCCGGUGAUGGCUGCAUCAAGCCAGCUGCAAACAUGCAAAGGCCAGCAGUGUGAAAGUUGCUGAUGCCACCGAUCCAAUGGUCGCUGGAUACAGGAGAUAUCAGUCAGCCAGGGCCUAGGCUACACUACACACUGAUCUGAUCUGCUCUGCUUUUAUACACAGGCCCAGGCUACACUACACACUGAUCUGAUCUGCUUUUAUACACAGGCCCAGGCUACACUACACACUGAUCUGAUCUGCUUUUAUACACAGGCCCAGGCUACACUACACACUGAUCUGAUCUGCUCUCAUACACAGAGCCUAGGCUACACUACACACUGAUCUUAUCUCAUACAC